GGGGAAUUUUGGACAAUGGGCGAAAGCCUGAUCCAGCCAUGCCGCGUGAGUGAAGAAGGCCUUCGGGUUGUAAAGCUCUUUUAGUCGGAAAGAAAGAGUUGCAAUGAAUAAUUGUGAUUUAUGACGGUACCGACAGAAAAAGCACCGGCUAACUACGUGCCAGCAGCCGCGGUAAUACGUAGGGUGCGAGCGUUAAUCGGAAUUACUGGGCGUAAAGGGUGCGCAGGCGGUCUUGCAAGUCAGAUGUGAAAGCCCCGGGCUUAACCUGGGAAUUGCGGUUGAAACUACAAGGCUAGAGUGCAGCAGAGGGGAGUGGAAUUCCAUGUGUAGCAGUGAAAUGCGUAGAGAUGUGGAAGAACACCGAUGGCGAAGGCAGCUCUCUUGGUUGACACUGACGCUCAUGCACGAAAGCGUGGGGAGCAAACA
RNAcentral lists this ribosomal RNA (426 nucleotides) under uncultured bacterium. RNAcentral describes it as "bacterial SSU rRNA". It matches the Rfam family "Bacterial small subunit ribosomal RNA", at positions 356 to 774 of the family's 1533-position model. The record is from RNAcentral.